AGAACGAACGCUGGCGGCAGGCCUCAAACAUGCAAGUCUAGGGGGUGCAGCAAUGCAUCACCGGCGGACGGGUGCGUAACACGUGGGAAUAUACCUUUCGGUACGGAACAACUGCGGGAAACUGCAGCUAAUACCGUAUACGUCCUUGCGGAGAAAGAUUUAUCGCCGAAGGAUUAGCCCGCGUUCGAUUAGCUAGUUGGUGAGGUAAUGGCUCACCAAGGCAACGAUCGAUAGCUGUUCUGAGAGGAAGAUCAGCCACACUGGGACUGAGACACGGCCCAGACUCCUACGGGAGGCAGCAGUUGGGAAUCUUGGACAAUGGGGGAAACCCUGAUCCAGCCAUGCCGCGUGAGUGAUGAAGGCCUUCGGGUUGUAAAGCUCUUUUACCCGGGAAGAUAAUGACUGUACCGGAGAUAAGCUCCGGCUAACUUCGUGCCAGCAGCCGC
Molecule: ribosomal RNA, 446 nt
Filed under: uncultured bacterium
Lineage: Bacteria
Description: SSU rRNA
Rfam family: Bacterial small subunit ribosomal RNA
Source: RNAcentral